AUACGUAGGUGCCAAGCGUUAUCCGGAUUUACUGGGCGUAAAGGGCGUGUAGGCGGUCUUGCAAGUCAGAAGUGAAAUUCCUGAGCUCAACUCGGGCGCUGCUUCUGAAACUGCAGGACUUGAGUGCUGGAGGGGAUAGCGGAAUUCCUAGUGGAGCGGUAAAAUGCGCAGAUAUUAGGAAGAACACCGGUGGCGAAGGCGACUUUCUGGACAGUAACUGACGCUGAGGUACGAAAGCGUGGGGAGCAAACAGGAUUAGAUACCCUGGUAGUCCACGCCGUAAACGAUGAGCACUAGGUGUCGGGGCAGCAAUGUUUCGGUGCCGCAGUUAACGCAAUAAGUGCUCCGCCUGGGGAGUACGCACGCAAGUGUGAAACUCAAAUGAAUUGACGGGG
Molecule: ribosomal RNA, 395 nt
Filed under: uncultured bacterium
Lineage: Bacteria
Description: partial 16S ribosomal RNA
Rfam family: Bacterial small subunit ribosomal RNA
Source: RNAcentral